Molecule: ribosomal RNA, 253 nt
Filed under: uncultured bacterium
Lineage: Bacteria
Description: partial 16S ribosomal RNA
Rfam family: Bacterial small subunit ribosomal RNA
Source: RNAcentral
UACGGGGGGGGCAAGCGUUGUUCGGAAUUACUGGGCGUAAAGGGCUCGUAGGCGGCCAACUAAGUCGGACGUGAAAUCCCUCGGCUUAACCGGGGAACUGCGUCCGAUACUGGAUGGCUUGAGUUCGGGAGAGGGAUGCGGAAUUCCAGGUGUAGCGGUGAAAUGCGUAGAUAUCUGGAGGAACACCGGUGGCGAAGGCGGAUCUCUGGGCCGAUACUGACGCUGAGGAGCGAAAGCGUGGGGAGCAAACAGG